CAGCCGCCACGGGAAUACGAGGGGGGCAAGCGUUGUUCGGAAUUAUUGGGCGUAAAGGGCGCGUAGGCGGUUUGACAAGUUUGGUGUGAAAUCUAUGGGCUCAACCCAGAGUCUGCAGGCGAAACUGUCGAGCUUGAGCAUUGGAGAGGUGAGUGGAAUUUCCGGUGUAGCGGUGAAAUGCGUAGAUAUCAGGAGGAACACCUGUGGCGAAAGCGGCUCACUGGACCAUAACUGACGCUGAGGCACGAAAGCUAGGGGAGCAAACAGGAUUAGAUACCCGGGUAGUCCCUGUCUCUUAUAC
RNAcentral lists this ribosomal RNA (301 nucleotides) under uncultured bacterium. Its description in RNAcentral is "partial 16S ribosomal RNA". It matches the Rfam family "Bacterial small subunit ribosomal RNA", at positions 509 to 807 of the family's 1533-position model. The record is from RNAcentral.